CUAUCCCUAACUCUCAAUUUCAUCUCGAUCUCUCUCUCUAACCUCACUGCCACACACGCCGGCAGACACGGCGUAAGCCGCGCCGCCGCGUCGCCCUCCCUCUCGCUGGCUGCACAGGCCCACGGCCGUUGAGGAGCCGCCGUCGCCGGAGACAGCCCAGAUCGGAAGCCACCGCGGCUCCGUCGCCGUCCGUCAACCGCCGGCGACGACGAGCCACCGAGGCUGCCCUCCCCCUGACCUCGACUCACACACGCAAUCAGCCAACACAAAGGGUCUUUGUGCAAGAAUCAUAUACUGUAAUUGCUCAAAUAAAAGUUUUAACUCUUUCCUUGUAACUUCAGUUCACAAGUACAUAUUUAGUAACUGUAAAUCUAUGAAUUUGCUACUCA
Salvia miltiorrhiza (redroot sage) is the source of this 389-nucleotide long non-coding RNA. RefSeq lists it as uncharacterized. NCBI's taxonomy places the organism in Eukaryota, Viridiplantae, Streptophyta, Magnoliopsida, Lamiales, Lamiaceae. The record is from RefSeq and is a predicted model, not a curated record. The transcript is spliced from 2 exons.